GGGCCUGUAGCUCAGCUGGGAGAGCGCCUGCAUGGCAUGCAGGAGGUCGUCGGUUCGAUCCCGAUCAGGUCCACCA
This 76-nucleotide transfer RNA is filed under the name Alphaproteobacteria bacterium. Its description in RNAcentral is "tRNA-Ala". It matches the Rfam family "tRNA". From Rfam's summary of the family: Transfer RNA (tRNA) molecules are approximately 80 nucleotides in length. Their secondary structure includes four short double-helical elements and three loops (D, anti-codon, and T loops). Further hydrogen bonds mediate the characteristic L-shaped molecular structure. tRNAs have two regions of fundamental functional importance: the anti-codon, which is responsible for specific mRNA codon recognition, and the 3' end, to which the tRNAs corresponding amino acid is attached (by aminoacyl-tRNA synthetases). tRNAs cope with the degeneracy of the genetic code in two manners: having more than one tRNA (with a specific anti-codon) for a particular amino acid; and 'wobble' base-pairing, i.e. permitting non-standard base-pairing at the 3rd anti-codon position. The record is from RNAcentral. Lineage: Bacteria; Pseudomonadati; Pseudomonadota; Alphaproteobacteria.